Molecule: long non-coding RNA, 261 nt
Organism: Equus quagga
Lineage: Eukaryota; Metazoa; Chordata; Mammalia; Perissodactyla; Equidae
Exons: 3
Source: RefSeq, a predicted model, not a curated record
UGAUGCUUUGACACCUGGAGCCUUGCUGACGCUGCAUGGACUGCCCCUGCCAGGACCCGCCAGUUCCAAAGACAGACCCUUGUGAUGACGCUGGGCCAGCAGAAUGAUCCAGAAUAAUCUCCCCAUCUCAAGAUCCUUAACUUCACCACAUCUGCAAUGUCCCUGUUGCCAGACGCUCCAGGGCACCGUACAGUGUGGUUGAAAGCGUGACCUGGCUGAAGUCAAACCCCGGCUCUGACAUUUACCAGGUGUGCAAAGUAU